UGAGGAAUAUUGGUCAAUGGGCGAUGGCCUGAACCAGCCAAGUAGCGUGAAGGAUGACUGCCCUAUGGGUUGUAAACUUCUUUUAUAAAGGAAUAAAGUCGGGUAUGCAUACCCGUUUGCAUGUACUUUAUGAAUAAGGAUCGGCUAACUCCGUGCCAGCAGCCGCGGUAAUACGGAGGAUCCGAGCGUUAUCCGGAUUUAUUGGGUUUAAAGGGAGCGUAGAUGGAUGUUUAAGUCAGUUGUGAAAGUUUGCGGCUCAACCGUAAAAUUGCAGUUGAUACUGGAUGUCUUGAGUGCAGUUGAGGCAGGCGGAAUUCGUGGUGUAGCGGUGAAAUGCUUAGAUAUCACGAAGAACUCCGAUUGCGAAGGCAGCCUGCUAAGCUGCAACUGACAUUGAGGCUCGAAAGUGUGGGUAUCAAACAGGAUUAGAUACCCUGGUAGUCCACACGGUAAACGAUGAAUACUCGCUGUUUGCGAUAUACGGCAAGCGGCCAAGCGAAAGCGUUAAGUAUUCCACCUGGGGAGUACGCCGGCAACGGUGAAACUCAAAGGAAUUGACGGGGGCCCGCACAAGCGGAGGAACAUGUGGUUUAAUUCGAUGAUACGCGAGGAACCUUACCCGGGCUUAAAUUGCACUCGAAUGAUCCGGAAACGGUUCAGCUAGCAAUAGCGAGUGUGAAGGUGCUGCAUGGUUGUCGUCAGCUCGUGCCGUGAGGUGUCGGCUUAAGUGCCAUAACGAGCGCAACCCUUGUUGUCAGUUACUAACAGGUGAUGCUGAGGACUCUGACAAGACUGCCAUCGUAAGAUGUGAGGAAGGUGGGGAUGACGUCAAAUCAGCACGGCCCUUACGUCCGGGGCUACACACGUGUUACAAUAGGGGGUACAGAGGGCCGCUACCACGCGAGUGGAUGCCAAUCCCUAAAACCCCUCUCAGUUCGGACUGGAGUCUACAACCCGACUCCACGAAGCUGGAUUCGCUAGUAAUCGCGCAUCAGCCACGGCGCGGUGAAUACGUUCCC
RNAcentral lists this ribosomal RNA (1019 nucleotides) under uncultured bacterium. RNAcentral's name for it is "bacterial SSU rRNA". It matches the Rfam family "Bacterial small subunit ribosomal RNA", at positions 355 to 1375 of the family's 1533-position model. The record is from RNAcentral.